This 1660-nucleotide long non-coding RNA is filed under the name Mus musculus (house mouse). Its description in RNAcentral is "lincRNA-EC34". The record is from RNAcentral. Lineage: Eukaryota; Metazoa; Chordata; Mammalia; Rodentia; Muridae.
CUAGCAGCCUUUGGAUGAAGAUGUAGAACUCUCAGCUCUGCCUGUGCCAUGCCUACCUGGAUACUGCCAUCACCUUGAUGAUAAUGGACUGAACCUCUGAACCUGUAAGCCAGCCUCAAUUAAAUGUUGUUUUUAUAAGACUUGCCUUGGUCAUGGUGUCUGUUCACAGCAGUAAAACCCUAACUAAGACAGCUGGCUUCUAAAGAGAGGGAUGGAGAACUUGCUAGAAAUCUUAGAGACUCAAGACAGCACCAGAUCACUUUAUAAAGAGAAAUAAGAGGAAGAAAGAAAUAAUUUGAGUUUUUCCUUCAAAAUUCCAUUGAUAUUUAGAUAAGAAAGGAAAUUGAAGAAUCACUGAUUCUGAAACAAUUCCUGUACUCUCUUUGUGCUUUAACUUUUAAGACGGGGUCUCACUUCAUAGCCCAGUCCAGGCUGGUCUGGGACUCACUAUGUAGUCCAGACCUGGAAUUCAUAGCAGUACUCCAGUUUCAGCUUCCUGAAUGUUGGAAUUAUAGCCAUAAGUCACCAUGAAAAUCAUCUCUUAAUUCAUCAAUGUGUGUAUGCGUGCAUGUGUGUGUGUGUGUGUGUGUGUGUGUGUGUGUGUGUGUGUGUGUAGUUAUGCAAGCAUGACUGUGUACACAUUCCAGUAGAGGACAAAGAUCAAUGCCGGGGGUCUUUUUUUCACAAUCAUGCUUCACCUUCUUUUUUGAGAUGGGGGUCUCUCCCUAAAGCUGGAGCUCACUGCCUUAAAUCCUCCCGUCUCUGUCUUCCCAGUGCUGGGAUUAUAGAGUGCUGAACUCAGGUCUUCAUGCUUGUGUGGCAAAUAUCCAACUUUCUAACUGAGCCAUCUCUGCCGGCCCAAAUCUUCUCUUUGAAAUAGAGAGAGUUUAUAUGUUUGAAUAUUCAGAGGGACCAUGGGAGCCCAUGUCCAUUGAAGGACAGAAACGGAAAUGUAAAUUUUAUUUAAUGCAACAAGUAGGUUGCCUAUCUGUUCUAUAAUUCCCAAGGGCUACCACUCUUCCAACAGGCACCACCAUUUUCCCAGGUGUCAUUUAUUCAAAUGUACCCCCUACACCAGGCUCUCUGAAAGAAAAUGGAAGAGGCUCAGCUGAGCUGCUGUGGUUCCCACCUUUGAUGAACUUAUGGACAAGAGAAGGAAGUGAACAUAAAGAAGAAUGCAACACACAUCCUCCUUAAGAGGGCUGUGUCUCUGUCACAGUUCUGCAUGAUAGAACUCAAAAGAGGAAAUAUUAUUUGGCUCAUGACUUCAGACGGCUUAAGCCCAUCGUGGUGGAAAAGGCAUAUAGCAGAAGACUGAAACUCUAAGACAAGAUUUAAACCAUGACAGUUUACGGCAUGUUAAGGCAUGGAACUGUAAAUGCACCUGGGAAGCAUCCGGUGGCGUGGCUCAGUAAGGAGACCCUUGAAUACAAGCUUGGCACUGUUGGUUCAGCUGACAGAUAACUAUAUCCACUUAUCUGCCAUCACCAUGAUUCAGGGUACACAAAGGUCAGGUGAAAAGGACUCAGGAGUGUGAGAGCAACCAGCAGCAGAGAGUGGAGGAGUCUUCGGUGUCUUCCUGAGGAGGAAUGAAUUUGACUGUGGUUCAGGAGCAACAGGAAGCAAGGGGAUGGCAAGAUGGGGGAUGGCAAGAUGGGGG